Molecule: long non-coding RNA, 253 nt
Filed under: Ananas comosus (pineapple)
Lineage: Eukaryota; Viridiplantae; Streptophyta; Magnoliopsida; Poales; Bromeliaceae
Description: long non-coding RNA (ACOM_LNC035018)
Source: RNAcentral
AUUGAUGCCACACUUGUUCUCUAAGGCUGCGUUUGGUUGGAGAACUAAAUUUUGGAGAACAACUUUUGUUGUUCCCGAGAACAGGGGAUAUUCCGGUACAAGAUAAAACAAUUGUAAAUUUGUGUUUGGAUGCAUUCGAGGAUAUUCUAGAGGAUAUCCUUAAUAGCGUUUGGAUAAAAAGUCUAGAACAACGUCUAAAUAUAUUUUUAAAAAUAAAAUAAUUAAUUUAUAUUAGUAUAUUUUAUAUAAAAUU